This 274-nucleotide ribosomal RNA is filed under the name uncultured bacterium. RNAcentral's name for it is "partial 16S ribosomal RNA". It matches the Rfam family "Bacterial small subunit ribosomal RNA", at positions 523 to 796 of the family's 1533-position model. The record is from RNAcentral.
AUACGGAGGGUGCAAGCGUUAAUCGGAAUUACUUGGCGUAAAGCGUACGUAGGCGGUUCGUUAAGUUAGAUGUGAAAGCCCCGGGCUUAACCUGGGAACUGCAUUUAAAACUGGCGAACUAGAGUUGAGUAGAGGGGAGUGGAAUUUCAGGUGUAGCGGUGAAAUGCGUAGAGAUCUGAAGGAACACCAGUGGCGAAGGCGACUCCCUGGACUCGAACUGACGCUGAGGUACGAAAGCGUGGGUAGCAAACGGGAUUAGAUACCCCAGUAGUCC